RNAcentral lists this transfer RNA (77 nucleotides) under Candidatus Falkowiibacteriota bacterium. RNAcentral describes it as "tRNA-Val". It matches the Rfam family "tRNA". Rfam says of the family: Transfer RNA (tRNA) molecules are approximately 80 nucleotides in length. Their secondary structure includes four short double-helical elements and three loops (D, anti-codon, and T loops). Lineage: Bacteria; Candidatus Falkowiibacteriota. The record is from RNAcentral.
GGGCGUAUAGCUCAGUUGGAACGAGCAUCGGCUUUACAAGCCGGGAGUCACUGGUUCGAUCCCAGUUACGCCCACCA